GCCUUUCUGUUCAAUAAACCAGACUUCUUACCCUCAACUCGCAGCCUCGACUCGUGUUGUAGGGAAAUGCUGAUCACUAGCUCUGCUCAGAGCUCCAGGAAUACUUUACACUUGCAGGAAGAUCGUGAGGUGCUGAAUUGGAAAUUUCUACCUCUCUCCAGGAUCGGGGACAAGGACAUCCAAUCGGUCCAACCCUCAGCUAGCCUGAGGCAACCGUAAC
RNAcentral lists this long non-coding RNA (220 nucleotides) under Pelobates cultripes (western spadefoot toad). Lineage: Eukaryota; Metazoa; Chordata; Amphibia; Anura; Pelobatidae. The record is from RNAcentral.